This 502-nucleotide ribosomal RNA is filed under the name Acinetobacter lwoffii. RNAcentral describes it as "bacterial SSU rRNA". It matches the Rfam family "Bacterial small subunit ribosomal RNA", at positions 36 to 532 of the family's 1533-position model. The record is from RNAcentral. Lineage: Bacteria; Pseudomonadati; Pseudomonadota; Gammaproteobacteria; Moraxellales; Moraxellaceae.
CUGGCGGCAGGCUUACACAUGCAAGUCGAGCGGGGAAGAGUAGCUUGCUACCUNACCUAGCGGCGGACGGGUGAGUAAUGCUUAGGAAUCUGCCUAUUAGUGGGGGACAACAUCUCGAAAGGGAUGCUAAUACCGCAUACGUCCUACGGGAGAAAGCAGGGGACCUUCGGGCCUUGCGCUAAUAGAUGAGCCUAAGUCGGAUUAGCUAGUUGGUGGGGUAAAGGCCUACCAAGGCGACGAUCUGUAGCGGGUCUGACAGGAUGAUCCGCCACACUGGGACUGAGACACGGCCCAGACUCCUACGGGAGGCAGCAGUGGGGAAUAUUGGACAAUGGGGGGAACCCUGAUCCAGCCAUGCCGCGUGUGUGAAGAAGGNCUUUUGGUUGUAAAGCACUUUAAGCGAGGAAGAGGCUACCGAGAUUAAUACUCUUGGAUAGUGGGACGUUACUCGCAGAAUAAGCACCGGCUAACUCUGUGCCAGCAGCCGCGGUAAUACAGAAGG